UACGUAGGGUGCAAGCGUUAAUCGGAAUUACUGGGCGUAAAGCGUGCGCAGGCGGUUUUGUAAGUCUGACGUGAAAUCCCCGGGCUCAACCUGGGAAUUGCGUUGGAGACUGCAAGGCUGGAGUCUGGCAGAGGGGGGUAGAAUUCCACGUGUAGCAGUGAAAUGCGUAGAGAUGUGGAAGAACACCCGUGGCGAAGGCGGCUCUCUGGGACGGUACUGACGCUGAGACGCGAAAGCGUGGGGAGCGAACAGG
Molecule: ribosomal RNA, 253 nt
Filed under: uncultured bacterium
Lineage: Bacteria
Description: partial 16S ribosomal RNA
Rfam family: Bacterial small subunit ribosomal RNA
Source: RNAcentral